CGCCUAUGACACGCGUGCAUGUAAAUUUGUUUUGAUCCUUCUUCCGGAAAAAGAGAGAGAAAACAGAUCAAGCAGGCAAAGAAGCGGGCGUCCUCACGACUCGAUAGCCCUUCCCUCCCUGAUCCCUCGGCCCCACCGCGCCCACACACGGCAGCAGCACCAGCGCCUUCUUUCUUUUCUCCUCCUCCCCGCACCAUUACAGACGAACACACGGCACUCGCCGUCGCCCUCCUCGUGCGCGCGUGGACCACCUUCCGCACUCUGCAUCCUGUAGCGGCAGCGUCGCCCAUUCGCCACGGCCUAUUACGCCUCCCCCUCUCUCUUCCUUUGUCUCACCGAGAGACACGCACGGAAGAGGGAGGGAAGACAGGAGCGGCGGAGCAAACAACAACGGUGAAGGCUUUAUGCUCGUGCCGUUCUCUUCGGCGAGCUGCUUGACAUGACAUCCAUGGUACGCCACUACUCUCUUUCCAAUCCGCCGCCGCUCGAGGGCGCGCUGGAUGGCCGCGAGACGGCGCACGAGGCGGAGAUACUGGAGGUGCAAGCUCUCCAGGCGGAGCGUGAUGGCGAAUGCGGGCGCGAUAUACUGCUCAUGGAGCGCGCGCUGCAGAUUCGCUGCCACCUGGUGAACCGACUGCGCGAGAAAUGGGCCAAUGCUGCGUCAGGGACGGGUUCGCCGUCGGCCGCCGGCGCUCAUCGCGUGUCUGUCCUCGCUAAUGCGGAUGCGGUGGGCAAAGAAGAGCUUCUUUUGGAGUAUCAGGCCCAAUGUGGUGAGCUCUACGACGCGGCCGAGCGCCUGGUGGUUCGCUGCAACGGGCUCGGUGUCGAGCAUUUUAAGCGAGGCGCAUUCUCGGAAGCCAGCCCACUGCUCGAGUAUGCGAUGCAGCUAACGGAGGAUGGGGCGUACCCGCUGUGCGAGGUCGAUGAGCGACGGCGGCACUUGCGCGGGGUCACGCUCAACAACCUCGGCUGCAUGGAGCGCCGCCGCGGCCACUUCUCCGAGGCACUACAGUACAUGAAGUCGUCGAUGGAGAUGACCGGGGUCGAGUCACCUGUGGCAUACAUGAACACCAGCGCUAUUCUUAUCCAGCUAAGGCUCAGCGACGAGGCGGUGCGCAUGGCGGAGCGCUCCAUCGAGCUACUUUACCAAACACCCGAAGACCCGUCGCUGCUGGCAGUGGCGCAUCACAACCUGGCCAUGGCACUCGAGCCGGUCGAUCCGGCACGGUGCUUGGAGGAGUAUGCGCUAGCAUACCGGACGGCCUGCUCCACGCUGGGCCCGGAGAGCGAGACGAGUCUCUCUAUUCUGCGCAGCUGGAGGAGGUAUGAGGCGACACGCGUGCCCCCGGCAAUGGGGGCGUUCUUCACGGCCGGUGAUGGCGCUGCCGCAUCUCGGCUACGUGGGCUCGCUGGUGCCGCGCCAACCAGGCAUGCAUACACUGCACCGCAUCGCUUGCCUGCAACGAUGCCGCGCACACACAACGGCAAGAGCGGUGCUGGCCCCCCGAUGGACUUGAUAGAGCUCUUUCCCCACCCUUUUCUGCCCAGCGCGUCCAUCUCGUCCGCUCCGACGAAGACGCCGCGGGAUGUGACGCCGAUCUACCGCCCCGCAGUGGUGCCCCGUCGGCCUCUUGCCCCUAGACCGCCGCCAGGCGUAACGGCAACCUCAUCCAGUCGCAGUCGUGAGCCACAGUCGCAGCCGCGCCACCAGCAGCAAGAGCAGCACCGACAGCCGCGGCGUCAGUAUGGGACGGAGAAGGUGAUGCGUUCCUCGCCACCAGCCUCCCGCACUGCGGUGGCGGCUCCACGACCGCCACCCGCCAACCGGGCGAGCGAGCUUGCGGUGGCAGCCGGCAGCGGCCGCGUCGCCGCUUCAAUGACGCCGUCGCCCCCGCCCUCUCGCCAGAGGCAAACGACCGCCCACCGGCGCUACUCGCCUACCACACCAGCGCAAGAGUCGUCACGGAAGUCACCGCCGCGUACAGACACCCGUCAGCAACGCUUGCCGAUGCAAAAGAGGACUGCGGAUGCAUGCCUAACCGCUAGCGGGCCACGAAAGCGGGAGAAGAGCACAUCCCACUACGCCAGUGACCGACUCACAACGCAGGCAUCGUCCACCGCGCUGUUGUCUUCCCCUGUGCAGUCACCAGGACGCGGGCCACGUCGCCCCAUAAAGGAGAGCGGCAGCAGCAACCAUUCUCUCCCCAUGCCACUGCCGCGAAACCUCCCGCCAUUGCAGACCGCCGUCGCUGCGGAGCCGCCUGCGGUGGCGCCGAAUCCGUCGUACUCCCGCUCGUUGCACGACGCAAAGACGAAUGCGUCGCUCCCACCCACCUCAGCGUCGCUUUCCCUCACGUCAGAUCCGCUGACGUUUCUGCAGAAUCGACUCGAAAUUCUGCUUCAAGACGAAGAAGAGCUGGAGCACAAGUACGCUCAAGCGACAGUGAUUCAGCGGUACUACCGCGGUCACCUGGCCCAUCGUCGCGUGGCAGCACUCCGAGCCACACGCGCGAGUUAUGCACGGCUCGCCCAGCUGCGCCGCCAUAUGGCAGCACGUUGCAUUCAGCGAGCGUUUCGGCGCCACCGCCGCCACAGCCGCUACCCUCUUGCAGCUGAUCAGCUGGGCCGCUACGCAGCAGCCGGAGGCCGACGCGGUGCCCAGCACCAAGCGGCUACGCAGCUGCAGCGAAUUGCGCGCGGUUGGUUGGCACGGCGUCACUACGCGCAGCUGCGCAAGUACACAUGUGAGAGUCCAGCAGCCGCAGCUCGCAUCCAGCGCUGGAUUCGCGCACUGCAAGCGCGACGCCACUACGCAGCCUUGCUCACCGCAAAGGCACAGCAGGAGGCCAUGGCGCUUGAGCACGAACGUCGUCAGUACGCGGCGACUCGCAUUCAAGGCCAGUGGCUCACCCACCUGCAGCGCAGAGCAUGCCAGGCGGCCCUGCGCAACCGUAUGAUGGCACGUGCCGCCGAGGAUGCCCGAUGUCGCAUGAGGGCGGCUAUCAUCAUCCAGUCAGCAUGGCGAGGGUAUCAGGCGCGCCGGCUCUAUCAAGACACGUACUUGCGCACCUCCCAGCUGCGCACGGCCCGGCUGGAGUACGAGCGCCGUCGUCAGGCUGCUGUGCGACUUCAGGCAUUUGGGCGGAUGCUCAUAGCCAGGCAGCACGCAACUCCGCUGCUGACGGUCGCCCGCUUUCGAGCAGCGGCUGAGAUUCGAACCCGCAGCCACGAAGGGCAGGCCGCUAUUAAGAUUCAGUGUGCCUACCGUCGCCACGUGGCUCGUCGAGUGUGUGCCACCAAGCGUGCAGCGCGCAAGAAGCAAAUUAGUCAGGACCUAGUGCAGGUGCGCACCGCAACUGUGCAACGUGCGGGACGAGGCUACAUGGCGCGGAAAGAUGUAGGGAGAAAGAUGUCAGCGGUGCAGGCUGAGGCAGAGCGGUACGAGCGCCGUCUGCUGGCUUUGAAGCAGAAAGAGCUGGGGGCUGCACGCGCCGUCGCGCUGGCAUCUCAGCUCAAUAUCUCCGCACUACGCGAAUGCGAAGGUGAGCAGCGGCGCAUGCUUGCGCGCGCGGAGCAGCAGCAAUGGCACGACAUGCUCACACAGUGCAACGCACUCUUAGCGUCGACAAAGGAGACUGAGGUAAAGCAAGAGGCGAUGAAGGCGAUUUCGUCAGUGGCCUUACACGGCUUUUCCCGCAUCAUCAAGGCGAAGAAGCAGCGAGCCCAUCGCCAAGAGGCGCGCGACGCCUACCUGGACCAGUGCGCGGCAGAGGAUGCCGAGGCACAUAAGGAGGCGAGCGCGCGCGUGAUAACUGACUUCAUGCGUAGCGCCGCCGCGCGCAGCACCUUGCGUAGCCUAUCCAAGACGAUGAGUUCGUACAACGACGCUCGUGCGAUGCAGGAGGAGGAUGAUAAGACGCCUGCGGCUGCGACGACGGAUGAGGCGGCCCCGAAGCGCCCGCUCACGGCGGAGCAGAUUGCGGCUGAGCGUGCUGAGCUGGACCGGCUGGAGCGCGAGCUGCUGGCCUCUGAGGCCACGGCGGCCCCGAAGCGCCCGCUCACGGCGGAGCAGAUUGCGGCUGAGCGUGCUGAGCUGGACCGGCUGGAGCGCGAGGAGCUGCUGGCCUCUGAGGCCACGGCGGCCCCGAAGCGCCCGCUCACGGCGGAGCAGAUUGCGGCUGAGCGCGCUGAGCUGGACCGGCUGGAGCGCGAGCUGCUGGCCUCUGAGGCCACGGCGGCCCCGAAGCGCCCGCUCACGGCGGAGCAGAUUGCGGCUGAGCGCGCUGAGCUGGACCGGCUGGAGCGCGAGGAGCUGCUGGGUGAGAGAGAUACCACAAGCGCGUACGAGGAAGAGCGACCUCCAGCUGCUGAUGAGUCUUUCACUUCGGCAGAUGCAUCUGUUAGUGCCAGUGCUUUGGCAGAUGUGAUGCUUGCUCGUCUGAAGGCCAUCUGGCAGGCCGAGUUGGCGGCAGAGAAGCAGCGCCGCCAACAACGCGAGGAUCUACAUCGGGCUAUCUUCGAACACAGGCAGCAGCGCAUCGCAGCCGCCGAGGAGGGAGAGGAGCUUUCUCCCUAUCGUAUUAACCGGGUGCACCUGCAGAUGCCCUCCUCGGCUGCGCCGAAGAAGGCACUCCCGUCGCCGGCAGAAUUGCCCACAACUAUGGGGAAUAAGUACCGUCAGGAGCGCGCUGCACAGGAGCGUGCUGCUGUACACUGCAUCGAGCGCUACUUCAUUGGCUGGGGCGCCCGAAAGCACCUGAAGGCGUUGCUACGCGUGCUGGAUGAGUAUCUCAGUGCCCUGCAGGACUUUGACCGUCACGAGGGGCCCGUGCUUACCUUCGUGCGGCUCCGCGAAGUACUAGCCCGUUACCCAGACUUGCAAACGCGUGUUUCGCAGCUGCCCGUUUCCCUAUCCCCUCCUGAAUGUGCCGCCAUUGAAGAUGUAAACUCAUCAGCUUCACCAGCAAUAUCAAUAACCUCGAGGAAAACUCUGAAAGGCUUUUCCCGCAUCAUCAAGGCGAAGAAGCAGCGAGCCCAUCGCCAAGAGGCGCGCGACACCUACCUGGACCAGUGCGCGGCAGAGGAUGCCGAGGCACAUAAGGAGGCGAGCGCGCGCGUGAUAACUGACUUCAUGCGUAGCGCCGCCGCGCGCAGCACCUUGCGUAGCCUAUCCAAGACGAUGAGUUCGUACAACGACGCUCGUGCGAUGCAGGAGGAGGAUGAUAAGACGCCUGCGGCUGCGACGACGGAUGAGGCGGCCCCGAAGCGCCCGCUCACGGCGGAGCAGAUUGCGGCUGAGCGUGCUGAGCUGGACCGGCUGGAGCGCGAGCUGCUGGCCUCUGAGGCCACGGCGGCCCCGAAGCGCCCGCUCACGGCGGAGCAGAUUGCGGCUGAGCGUGCUGAGCUGGACCGGCUGGAGCGCGAGGAGCUGCUGGCCUCUGAGGCCACGGCGGCCCCGAAGCGCCCGCUCACGGCGGAGCAGAUUGCGGCUGAGCGUGCUGAGCUGGACCGGCUGGAGCGCGAGCUGCUGGCCUCUGAGGCCACGGCGGCCCCGAAGCGCCCGCUCACGGCGGAGCAGAUUGCGGCUGAGCGUGCUGAGCUGGACCGGCUGGAGCGCGAGCUGCUGGCCUCUGAGGCCACGGCGGCCCCGAAGCGCCCGCUCACGGCGGAGCAGAUUGCGGCUGAGCGCGCUGAGCUGGACCGGCUGGAGCGCGAGCUGCUGGCCUCUGAGGCCACGGCGGCCCCGAAGCGCCCGCUCACGGCGGAGCAGAUUGCGGCUGAGCGCGCUGAGCUGGACCGGCUGGAGCGCGAGCUGCUGGCCUCUGAGGCCACGGCGGCCCCGAAGCGCCCGCUCACGGCGGAGCAGAUUGCGGCUGAGCGCGCUGAGCUGGACCGGCUGGAGCGCGAGGAGCUGCUGGCCUCUGAGGCCACGGCGGCCCCGAAGCGCCCGCUCACGGCGGAGCAGAUUGCGGCUGAGCGCGCUGAGCUGGACCGGCUGGAGCGCGAGCUGCUGGCCUCUGAGGCCACGGCGGCCCCGAAGCGCCCGCUCACGGCGGAGCAGAUUGCGGCUGAGCGUGCUGAGCUGGACCGGCUGGAGCGCGGGGAGAGAGAUGUCGAUGCAGGGGAGAUGAAAGCGUCGCCGCUCUUGGCGUCCGAGCAGCUGCUCGCAGAAGGUGCAGUGAUUGGCCAUCUUGAACGCUGGGAACAAAUAGGCUUCGAUGACGGAGCGAGACAUCCUCCACGACGACUGACCGAACAGCAGUUUGUGGUGGAGCGCUUGGCCUUGGACCAGCUGGACCACGUAAAGCAGGUGGCAACGGAGCGCGGAAGGCCGGACCGACCGAGCUGCGUGGAGCAAAAAAUGUUGAGCGCAGCUGCACUUUAUGCGCAGAGGGUGCAGGAGGAGCGUUGCAGCGCUGAUUCUGCGCACACCUCGACGCCAUCAUCGGUGAGGACAUUCGAGCCACGGCAGCUGGAAGGCCUCACCAGCAGCGAGGCGGGUGGUCGCUUGUGGGUGUUUGCCAAGGCCAUCCGAGACAAGAAGGACCUACGCCAACGGCAAGCUGCCCGUGACGCUUAUCUGCAAGAGAUGCACAAUGAAAAUGCCAUUGGUACAGACGAGGAGGAGAAGCAGCAGGAGGAGCGCGCACCGACGCCCUCUUCGGGCGCAAGUACGUGGCGGCGCUGCAGCAAUGAGGCUAGCGGCGACGAUAGAGAGAUGGUGAACCAGGAGGCGUUGUGCCAACUGUACCAUCAAGAGCGCCGAUCCUUCGCCUCCUCGCUUGUAGGCGGCUUUGUUGAUAUCAUCAAGGCGAAGAAGCAGCGAGCCCAUCGCCAAGAGGCGCGCGACGCCUACCUGGACCAGUGCGCGGCAGAGGAUGCCGAGGCACAUAAGGAGGCGAGCGCGCGCGUGAUAACUGACUUCAUGCGUAGCGCCGCCGCGCGCAGCACCUUGCGGAGCCUAUCCAAGACGAUGAGUUCGUACAACGACGCUCGUGCGAUGCAGGAGGAGGAUGAUAAGACGCCUGCGGCUCCGACGACGGAUGAUGGCAGCGGUGAGGGUGCGUACGCAACCUCUGCCGAGUUGUGUGAGCACUCCCCUUGGUCUGCGGCUCUCAGAAUCCAGCGCUUCUUCAGGGGCGUGCAGGCAAGGCGUCGAGUGCGAGUACUGCAAGAGGCAUACCGUGCCUACCUCGGGGAGGAGCUUGCAGUAGAGGAGCUACUCUACUCAGCGGCGGUUACCAUUCAGUGCUUGUACCGAGGCCAUCUGGCGCGUCGGCAGGCGGCCAUGGUCAUUGUGCAGCGUGAUCUCUACCUGCUGUCACUCCAGGAGGAGGAUGGGUCAGGUGCGGAUUCGAAGCGCGAAGAAGGGAGUGAUGCGCCCUUGCCAGCAGUUCUAUCGUUUCUUGCUUCCUCACCGAAGAUUGUCGCUGGCGGCGGGGCCGAGGCAGCGGCGACUCGCUCCUUCACCCCACGCCGCUCUUCCUCGUCAUCCUAUACUGGUCUGCGCGAAGUUGCCAGCACAGCCAUCGUGACCGAGGUGAAUGAGGCGGACGAGGCAGCGCUGGAUCAGCUUUUGCAUCGCCCCUGAGCUGCCGCUCUCCAUCUUGCGUCGGCGGCACGCCAAGAGCACCCGCACCCCGCCAUUUCCCGGGUACACAGUCAGAACAUCUGCGCGCAAUGUCAGGAGACUGCUGCCGUCUUUGCCCGCUUGCGUGCUUUCUUCCUUUUCGCUACUCGUAUUGUACUGCUAUACUGAUGGUGCACUCCACUAUAGGGGAAAGCGAGAGCGGUGUGGUCGAUGGCGGUGCGCGAUGUGUCUGUGUCGUGGCACUCACCGCCGCCGCUCGCGGUAUCACCGAGUGCCAAGAGAGUGGCAAACAACACUCCUUGUUGGUUUCGUCUCUGUGUCUCCUUAUCUCACAAUCACUCUCGUCGGUGGCGUUCCCCUUGGCCGCUUUCUUGAAUAUGUUUUCUGUUCUCUUCCCGUUGCCGGCGUUCUUUUUCUGUCGUUUCCGUGCCCGGUUGCUCUCACCCUUGUGGCUGGUGCGUGUCUGUUGUCUCCGCAUUCGGCUUCAGGACAGUUGCUUGUGCUGCGUGUGCGUGCAACAGCCUAUAUACAUGUGCAUGUGCUGAGGUGUGUGUGGAUGUGCCUGUGUGUGUACCUUUUUUUAUACAAUUCUCGUUUGCUUUUGCUGUUCUUGUUAUGAUGUACAGAACAUCAGCAAAGAAGGCCAAUGAGCCGCUCUCUCUCUUUGGCUGGAUCGGUGUAGCCUGCACAUGCCGAGCUGGCGAGGGUACGAGGUCUGCAGCGUUCUGUUUGCUUCUUUCUGACUUGGAACGCGCAACCAUCCUUCACCACCCUCUCGCUUGCUCGUUUUGGUUGUUCGUGUUUCCGUCAUUUUCCUCGUUGUCUUUCGAUUUUUUUUCGUUCUAGGGUGCUCGUUGACGCUUCACCGCGGUUCUUCCCGUCACGUCUCUUGCUCUACUCCGCCUUCUCUCUGGAUGAGCCUCAUCUACCCCACCCCCUCCCACCCGGCUUAUUGCCACUUCGAUGUACAUUGUCGUUCUCUUCGACUUCAACUAGAAUGGCGGAGAACAAGAGCGCGCGAUAUUAGAUAAGUAGCAAGACGGAGAAACUGCAGCCCCCCAAAAAAACCACAAGAGGAGAGGUGGUACGGGGAACGUCCCUACCUCCCUCCCUGUGCACCGCUGCCCCUUGUCUUUCGUAUGUUUGCUCUCUCUUUUCUUCAUGCUUUCCCUUCUGGUUUGAGCCCACCGCGAACCAGGAGCGGCGAGCUACAACG
RNAcentral lists this unclassified non-coding RNA (8807 nucleotides) under Leishmania donovani. Its description in RNAcentral is "gene:LdHU3.32.4220(CDS-product:Flagellar_Member_7 )". Lineage: Eukaryota; Euglenozoa; Kinetoplastea; Trypanosomatida; Trypanosomatidae. The record is from RNAcentral.